Molecule: ribosomal RNA, 449 nt
Filed under: uncultured bacterium
Lineage: Bacteria
Description: bacterial SSU rRNA
Rfam family: Bacterial small subunit ribosomal RNA
Source: RNAcentral
GUGGGGAAUAUUGGACAAUGGGCGCAAGCCUGAUCCAGCAAUACCGCGUGUGUGAAGAAGGCCUGAGGGUUGUAAAGCACUUUUAAUCGGGAGGAAUACCUAAUCGCUAAUACCGAUUAGAAUGACAUUACCGAUAGAAAAAGCACCGGCUAACUCCGUGCCAGCAGCCGCGGUAAUACGGAGGGUGCAAGCGUUAAUCGGAAUUACUGGGCGUAAAGCGUGCGUAGGCGGUGUUUUAAGUCAGAUGUGAAAGCCCCGGGCUUAACCUGGGAAUGGCAUUUGAUACUGGAUCACUAGAGUUUGGAAGAGGAAAGUGGAAUUUCAGGUGUAGCGGUGAAAUGCGUAGAUAUCUGAAGGAACACCAGUGGCGAAGGCGACUUUCUGGUCUAAAACUGACGCUGAGGUACGAAAGCAUGGGUAGCAAACAGGAUUAGAUACCCCAGUAGUCC